Molecule: ribosomal RNA, 517 nt
Filed under: Kentropyx altamazonica
Lineage: Eukaryota; Metazoa; Chordata; Lepidosauria; Squamata; Teiidae
Description: partial large subunit ribosomal RNA
Rfam family: Bacterial large subunit ribosomal RNA
Source: RNAcentral
AGCCUUUAGCUCAAAUAGUAUUAAAGGUGAUGCCUGCCCAGUGAUUCUUUUCAACGGCCGCGGGAUCCUACACCGUGCAAAGGUAGCAUAAUCACUUGUCACCUAAAUAGUGACUAGUAUGAAUGGCCUAAUGAGGACUUUUCUGUCUCUUGUAAUCAAUCAAUGAAACUGAUCUCCCAGUCCAAAAGCUGGGAUAAAACCACAAGACGAAAAGACCCUGUGGAACUUUUAAGUGCUAAUCAUUAUGUGACCAAAACACUUUUAGUUGGGGCAACUUUGGAACAAAGUAAAACUUCCAAUUAAUUUAUUAUACCUAAUCUAGGUACCACACACCAACAUUAAAAAUACCCUUGACCCAGUACCACUGAUCAAAGAAACAAGCUACCCCAGGGAUAACAGCGCCAUCCCCUCUUAGAGUCCUAAUCGACGAGCGGGGCUUACGACCUCGAUGUUGGAUCAGGGCCCCCCAACAGUGCAGCAGCUGUUAAAGGUUUGUUUGUUCAACAAUUAAUGCCCU